This 497-nucleotide ribosomal RNA is filed under the name uncultured bacterium. RNAcentral describes it as "partial 16S ribosomal RNA". It matches the Rfam family "Bacterial small subunit ribosomal RNA", at positions 28 to 507 of the family's 1533-position model. The record is from RNAcentral.
GAUGAACGCUGGCGGCGUGCCUAAUACAUGCAAGUCGAGCGAACAGAUGAGGAGCUUGCUCCUCUGACGUUAGCGGCGGACGGGUGAGUAACACGUGGAUAACCUACCUAUAAGACUGGGAUAACUUCGGGAAACCGGAGCUAAUACCGGAUAAUAUAUUGAACCGCAUGGUUCAAUAGUGAAAGACGGUUUUGCUGUCACUUAUAGAUGGAUCCGCGCCGCAUUAGCUAGUUGGUAAGGUAACGGCUUACCAAGGCAACGAUGCGUAGCCGACCUGAGAGGGUGAUCGGCCACACUGGAACUGAGACACGGUCCAGACUCCUACGGGAGGCAGCAGUAGGGAAUCUGCCGCAAUGGGCGAAAGCUUGACGGAGCAACGCCGCGUGAGUGAUGAAGGUCUUCGGAUCGUAAAACUCUGUUAUUAGGGAAGAACAAAUGUGUAAGUAACUAUGCACGUCUUGACGGUACCUAAUCAGAAAGCCACGGCUAACUACGUG